This 29-nucleotide non-coding RNA is filed under the name Mus musculus (house mouse). Lineage: Eukaryota; Metazoa; Chordata; Mammalia; Rodentia; Muridae. The record is from RNAcentral.
UACGUUCGCCAUGUUCAGGUCCAGUCCUU